Molecule: transfer RNA, 71 nt
Filed under: Verrucomicrobiota bacterium
Lineage: Bacteria; Pseudomonadati; Verrucomicrobiota
Description: Verrucomicrobia bacterium tRNA-Ala
Rfam family: tRNA
About the family: Transfer RNA (tRNA) molecules are approximately 80 nucleotides in length. Their secondary structure includes four short double-helical elements and three loops (D, anti-codon, and T loops). Further hydrogen bonds mediate the characteristic L-shaped molecular structure. tRNAs have two regions of fundamental functional importance: the anti-codon, which is responsible for specific mRNA codon recognition, and the 3' end, to which the tRNAs corresponding amino acid is attached (by aminoacyl-tRNA synthetases). tRNAs cope with the degeneracy of the genetic code in two manners: having more than one tRNA (with a specific anti-codon) for a particular amino acid; and 'wobble' base-pairing, i.e. permitting non-standard base-pairing at the 3rd anti-codon position.
Source: RNAcentral
GGGGGCAGCUCAGUUCGUGGAGCGUCUCGUUCGCAAUGAGAAGGCCAGGGAUUCGAAUCCCCUUACCUCCA